AGUGAACGCUGGCGGUAGGCCUAACACAUGCAAGUCGAACGGCAGCACAGUAAGAGCUUGCUCUUACGGGUGGCGAGUGGCGGACGGGUGAGGAAUACAUCGGAAUCUACUUUUUCGUGGGGGAUAACGUAGGGAAACUUACGCUAAUACCGCAUACGACCUACGGGUGAAGGCAGGGGAUCUUCGGACCUUGCGCGAUUGAAUGAGCCGAUGUCGGAUUAGCUAGUUGGCGGGGUAAAGGCCCUCCAAGGCGACGAUCCGUAGCUGGUCUGAGAGGAUGAUCAGCCACACUGGAACUGAGACACGGUCCAGACUCCUACGGGAGGCAGCAGUGGGGAAUAUUGGACAAUGGGCGCAAGCCUGAUCCAGCCAUACCGCGUGGGUGAAGAAGGCCUUCGGGUUGUAAAGCCCUUUUGUUGGGAAAGAAAAGCAGCAGGUUAAUACCCCGCUGUUCUGACGGUACCCAAAGAAUAAGCACCGGCUAACUUCGUG
RNAcentral lists this ribosomal RNA (492 nucleotides) under uncultured bacterium. RNAcentral describes it as "partial 16S ribosomal RNA". It matches the Rfam family "Bacterial small subunit ribosomal RNA", at positions 29 to 507 of the family's 1533-position model. The record is from RNAcentral.